RNAcentral lists this ribosomal RNA (1087 nucleotides) under Salmonella enterica subsp. enterica serovar Typhimurium. RNAcentral's name for it is "partial 23S ribosomal RNA". It matches the Rfam family "Bacterial large subunit ribosomal RNA", at positions 536 to 1547 of the family's 2925-position model. The record is from RNAcentral. Lineage: Bacteria; Pseudomonadati; Pseudomonadota; Gammaproteobacteria; Enterobacterales; Enterobacteriaceae.
GAGCGAAAGCGACGUUCAACCGCAAAACAAGCAGAGGGGGCUUAGUGGUGGGGUGACUGCGUACCUUUUGUAUAAUGGGUCAGCGACUUAUAUUCUGUAGCAAGGUUAACCGAAUAGGGGAGCCGGAGGGAAACCGAGUCUUAAUUGGGCGUUAAGUUGCAGGGUAUAGACCCGAAACCCGGUGAUCUAGCCAUGGGCAGGUUGAAGGUUGGGUAACACUAACUGGAGGACCGAACCGACUAAUGUUGAAAAAUUAGCGGAUGACCUGUGGCUGGGGGUGAAAGGCCAAUCAAACCGGGAGAUAGCUGGUUCUCCCCGAAAGCUAUUUAGGUAGCGCCUCGUGAAUUCAUCUCCGGGGGUAGAGCACUGUUUCGGCUAGGGGGCCAUCCCGGCUUACCAACCCGAUGCAAACUGCGAAUACCGGAGAAUGUUAUCACGGGAGACACACGGCGGGUGCUAACGUCCGUCGUGAAGAGGGAAACAACCCAGACCGCCAGCUAAGGUCCCAAAGUCAUGGUUAAGUGGGAAACGAUGUGGGAAGGCCCAGACAGCCAGGAUGUUGGCUUAGAAGCAGCCAUCAUUUAAAGAAAGCGUAAUAGCUCACUGGUCGAGUCGGCCUGCGCGGAAGAUGUAACGGGGCUAAACCAUGCACCGAAGCUGCGGCAGCGAACGUAUCACCCAAGACAACUUUACGGAGUUGACGAUUGACGGAGCGAAGCGACGUCAAAGCGUUCAUUAAAGUCGAGUUGGCUUAGGGAUACGUUCGUUGGGUAGGGGAGCGUUCUGUAAGCCUGUGAAGGUGUGUCGUGAGGCAUGCUGGAGGUAUCAGAAGUGCGAAUGCUGACAUAAGUAACGAUAAAGCGGGUGAAAAGCCCGCUCGCCGGAAGACCAAGGGUUCCUGUCCAACGUUAAUCGGGGCAGGGUGAGUCGACCCCUAAGGCGAGGCCGAAAGGCGUAGUCGAUGGGAAACGGGUUAAUAUUCCCGUACUUGGUGUUACUGCGAAGGGGGGACGGAGAAGGCUAUGUUGGCCGGGCGACGGUUGUCCCGGUUUAAGCGUGUAGGUGUGUGUUCCAGGUAAAUCCGGUU